This 445-nucleotide ribosomal RNA is filed under the name uncultured bacterium. Its description in RNAcentral is "SSU rRNA". It matches the Rfam family "Bacterial small subunit ribosomal RNA", at positions 26 to 518 of the family's 1533-position model. The record is from RNAcentral.
AGAGCGAACGCUGGCGGCAGGCCUAAUACAUGCAAGUCGAACGGACCCUUCGGGGUUAGUGGCGGACGGGUGAGUAACACGUGGGAACGUGCCCUUUGGUUCGGAACAACUCAGGGAAACUUGAGCUAAUACCGAAUGUGCCCUUCGGGGGAAAGAUUUAUCGCCAUUGGAGCGGCCCGCGUCUGAUUAGCUAGUUGGUGAGGUAAAGGCUCACCAAGGCGACGAUCAGUAGCUGGUCUGAGAGGAUGAUCAGCCACACUGGGACUGAGACACGGCCCAGACUCCUACGGGAGGCAGCAGUAGGGAAUCUUGCGCAAUGGGCGAAAGCCUGACGCAGCCAUGCCGCGUGAAUGAUGAAGGUCUUAGGAUUGUAAAAUUCUUUCAGCGGGACGAUAAUGACGGUACCCGCAGAAGAAGCCCCGGCUAACUUCGCGCCAGCAGCCGC